RNAcentral lists this small RNA (28 nucleotides) under Bombyx mori (domestic silkworm). RNAcentral's name for it is "ovarian small RNA-37341". Lineage: Eukaryota; Metazoa; Arthropoda; Insecta; Lepidoptera; Bombycidae. The record is from RNAcentral.
UUCCUGUCUUAUAUCUUGUGCACAGUUA